GCUGGUGAGAGUGGCGAACGGGUGAGUAAUGCGUGACCAACCUGCCCCAUGCACCGGAAUAGCUCCUGGAAACGGGUGGUAAUGCCGGAUGCUCCGCACCUUCGCAUGGGGGUGUGGGAAAUGCUUUUGCGGCAUGGGAUGGGGUCGCGUCCUAUCAGCUUGUUGGCGGGGUGACGGCCCACCAAGGCGUUGACGGGUAGCCGGCCUGAGAGGGUGACCGGCCACAUUGGGACUGAGAUACGGCCCAGACUCCUACGGGAGGCAGCAGUGGGGAAUAUUGCACAAUGGGCGCAAGCCUGAUGCAGCGACGCCGCGUGCGGGAUGGAGGCCUUCGGGUUGUAAACCGCUUUUGUUCAAGGGCAAGGCGGGUCUUCGGGCCCGUUGAGUGGAUUGUUCGAAUAAGCACCGGCUAACUACGUGCCAGCAGCCGCGGUAAUACGUAGGGUGCAAGCGUUAUCCGGAUUUAUUGGGCGUAAAGGGCUCGUAGGCGGUUCGUCGCGUCCGGUGUGAAAGUCCAUCGCUUAACGGUGGAUCCGCGCCGGGUACGGGCGGGCUUGAGUGCGGUAGGGGAGACUGGAAUUCCCGGUGUAACGGUGGAAUGUGUAGAUAUCGGGAAGAACACCAAUGGCGAAGGCAGG
Molecule: ribosomal RNA, 638 nt
Filed under: Bifidobacterium sp. B-3
Lineage: Bacteria; Bacillati; Actinomycetota; Actinomycetes; Bifidobacteriales; Bifidobacteriaceae
Description: bacterial SSU rRNA
Rfam family: Bacterial small subunit ribosomal RNA
Source: RNAcentral